GACGAACGCUGGCGGCGUACUUAACACAUGCAAGUCGAACGGAAAGGCCCUGCUUUUGUGGGGUGCUCGAGUGGCGAACGGGUGGGUAACACGUGAGUAACCUGCCCUUGACUUUGGGGUAACUUCAGGAAACUGGGGCUAAUACCGGAUAGGAGCUCCUGCUGCAUGGUGGGGGUUGGAAAGUUUCGGCGGUUGGGGAUGGACUCGCGGCUUAUCAGCUUGUUGGUGGGGUAGUGGCUUACCAAGGCUUUGACGGGUAGCCGGCCUGAGAGGGUGACCGGCCACAUUGGGACUGAGAUACGGCCCAGACUCCUACGGGAGGCAGCAGUGGGGAAUAUUGCACAAUGGGCGGAAGCCUGAUGCAGCAACGCCGCGUGCGGGAUGACGGCCUUCGGGUUGUAAACCGCUUUCGCCUGUGACGAAGCGUGAGUGACGGUAAUGGGUAAAGAAGCACCGGCUAACUACGUG
RNAcentral lists this ribosomal RNA (468 nucleotides) under uncultured bacterium. RNAcentral describes it as "partial 16S ribosomal RNA". It matches the Rfam family "Bacterial small subunit ribosomal RNA", at positions 28 to 507 of the family's 1533-position model. The record is from RNAcentral.